AUACGUAGGUGACAAGCGUUAUCCGGAUUUACUGGGCGUAAAGGGCGUGUAGGCGGUCUUGCAAGUCAGAAGUGAAAUUCCUGAGCUCAACUCGGGCGCUGCUUCUGAAACUGCAGGACUUGAGUGCUGGAGGGGAUAGCGGAAUUCCUAGUGGAGCGGUAAAAUGCGCAGAUAUUAGGAAGAACACCGGUGGCGAAGGCGGCUAUCUGGACAGUAACUGACGCUGAGGCGCGAACGCGUGGUGAGCAAACAGGAUUAGAUGCCCUGGUAGUCCACGCCGUAAACGAUGAAUACUAGGUGUAGGGGGUAUCGACUCCCUCUGUGCCGCAGUUAACACAAUAAGUAUUCCGCCUGGGGAGUACGGCCGCAAGGUUGAAACUCAAAUGAAUUGGCGGGG
This 397-nucleotide ribosomal RNA is filed under the name uncultured bacterium. Its description in RNAcentral is "partial 16S ribosomal RNA". It matches the Rfam family "Bacterial small subunit ribosomal RNA", at positions 523 to 918 of the family's 1533-position model. The record is from RNAcentral.